UUAUAGUGGGGGAUAGCCUUUCGAAAGGAAGAUUAAUACGCAUAAGAUUGUAGUAUCGCNUGAUAUAGCAAUUAAAAGGAGCAAUCCGCUAUAAGAUGGACCCGCGUCGCAUUAGCUAGUUGGUGAGGUAAUGGCUCACCAAGGCGACGAUGCGUAGCCGACCUGAGAGGGUGAUCGGCCACAUUGGAACUGAGACACGGCCCAGACUCCUACGGGAGGCAGCAUG
Molecule: ribosomal RNA, 226 nt
Filed under: uncultured bacterium
Lineage: Bacteria
Description: partial 16S ribosomal RNA
Rfam family: Bacterial small subunit ribosomal RNA
Source: RNAcentral